Molecule: ribosomal RNA, 449 nt
Filed under: uncultured bacterium
Lineage: Bacteria
Description: partial 16S ribosomal RNA
Rfam family: Bacterial small subunit ribosomal RNA
Source: RNAcentral
AGCGAACGCUGGCGGCAGGCCUAACACAUGCAAGUCGAACGAAGUCUUCGGACUUAGUGGCGGACGGGUGAGUAACACGUGGGAACGUGCCUUUAGGUUCGGAAUAACUCAGGGAAACUUGUGCUAAUACCGAAUGUGCCCUUCGGGGGAAAGAUUUAUCGCCUUUAGAGCGGCCCGCGUCUGAUUAGCUAGUUGGUGAGGUAAAGGCUCACCAAGGCGACGAUCAGUAGCUGGUCUGAGAGGAUGAUCAACCACAUUGGGACUGAGACACGGCCCAAACUCCUACGGGAGGCAGCAGUGGGGAAUCUUGCGCAAAGGGCGAAAGCCUGACGCAGCCAUGCCGCGUGAAUGAUGAAGGUCUUAGGAUUGUAAAAUUCUUUCACCGGGGACGAUAAUGACGGUACCCGGAGAAGAAGCCCCGGCUAACUUCGUGCCAGCCGCCGCAGUAA